AGAUUAAGUUAUUAAGGGCGCACGGUGGAUGCCUUGGCACUAGAAGCCGAAGAAGGACGUUACUAACGACGAUAUGCUUUGGGUAGCUGUAAGUAAGCGUUGAUCCAGAGAUUUCCGAAUGGGGGAACCCAACAUGAGUUAUGUCAUGUUAUCGACAUGUGAAUUCAUAGCAUGUCAGAAGGCAGACCCGGAGAACUGAAACAUCUUAGUACCCGGAGGAAGAGAAAGAAAAAUCGAUUCCCUGAGUAGCGGCGAGCGAAACGGGAAGAGCCCAAACCAACAAGCUUGCUUGUUGGGGUUGUAGGACACUCUAUACGGAGUUACAAAAGAACAUGUUAGACGAAUCAUCUGGAAAGAUGAAUCAAAGAAGGUAAUAAUCCUGUAGUCGAAAACAUAUUCUCUCUUGAGUGGAUCCUGAGUACGACGGAGCACGUGAAAUUCCGUCGGAAUCUAGGAGGACCAUCUCCUAAGGCUAAAUACUCUCUAGUGACCGAUAGUGAACCAGUACCGUGAGGGAAAGGUGAAAAGUACCCCGGAAGGGGAGUGAAAGAGAACUUGAAACCGUGUGCUUACAAGUAGUCAGAGCCCGUUUAUGGGUGAUGGCGUGCCUUUUGUAGAAUGAACCGGCGAGUUACGAUCUGAUGCAAGGUUAAGCAGCGAAUGUGGAGCCGUAGCGAAAGCGAGUCUGAAUAGGGCGUUGAGUAUUUGGUCGUAGACCCGAAACCAGGUGAUCU
RNAcentral lists this ribosomal RNA (734 nucleotides) under Staphylococcus capitis subsp. urealyticus. Its description in RNAcentral is "bacterial LSU rRNA". It matches the Rfam family "Bacterial large subunit ribosomal RNA", at positions 1 to 731 of the family's 2925-position model. The record is from RNAcentral. Lineage: Bacteria; Bacillati; Bacillota; Bacilli; Caryophanales; Staphylococcaceae.